GACGAACGCUGGCGGCGUGCUUAACACAUGCAAGUCGAACGGAAAGGCCCCUUUGGGGGUACUCGAGUGGCGAACGGGUUAGUAACACGUGAGUAACCUGCCCCUGACUUCGGGAUAACUUCAGGAAACUGGGGCUAAUACCGGAUAGGAAUCCUUGCUGCAUGGUGGGGGUUGGAAAGCUUCGGCGGUUUUGGAUGGACUCGCGGCUUAUCAGCUUGUUGGUGGGGUAGUGGCUUACCAAGGCUUUGACGGGUAGCCGGCCUGAGAGGGCGACCGGCCACAUUGGGACUGAGAUACGGCCCAGACUCCUACGGGAGGCAGCAGUGGGGAAUAUUGCACAAUGGGCGGAAGCCUGAUGCAGCACCGCCGCGUGCGGGAUGACGGCCUUCGGGUUGUAAACCGAUUUCAGCAGGGGCGAAGCUUGUGGUGACGGUACCUGCAGAAGAAGCACCGGCUAACUACGUG
RNAcentral lists this ribosomal RNA (465 nucleotides) under uncultured bacterium. RNAcentral's name for it is "partial 16S ribosomal RNA". It matches the Rfam family "Bacterial small subunit ribosomal RNA", at positions 28 to 507 of the family's 1533-position model. The record is from RNAcentral.